Molecule: ribosomal RNA, 509 nt
Filed under: uncultured bacterium
Lineage: Bacteria
Description: partial 16S ribosomal RNA
Rfam family: Bacterial small subunit ribosomal RNA (bases 20-331)
Source: RNAcentral
GACGAACGCUGGCGGCGUGCUUAACACAUGCAAGUCGAACGGAAAGGCCCUGCUUUUGUGGGGUGCUCGAGUGGCGAACGGGUGAGUAACACGUGAGUAACCUGCCCUUGACUUUGGGAUAACUUCAGGAAACUGGGGCUAAUACCGGAUAGGAGCUCCUGCUGCAUGGUGGGGGUUGGAAAGUUUCGGCGGUUGGGGAUGGACUCGCGGCUUAUCAGCUUGUUGGUGGGGUAGUGGCUUACCAAGGCUUUGACGGGUAGCCGGCCUGAGAGGGUGACCGGUCAGAGGGGGCGGGGGAGCGGUCCGAGGACGGGGGGGGGGGAGGGGUGGGGAGAGAGGGCACGGGGGGCGGAAGCAGGAGGGGGCAACGCGGGGUGGGGCAUGGGGGGCGGCGGGGGGAAAGCCGGUGUCGCCGGGGAAGAGGCGGGGGUGGUGGGAAGGGGAAAAGGCGAUCGGGCGAACGGCGGGCCAGCAGCGGGGGUAAGAAGGGGAAGAGCAUGCGUCUAACC